This 253-nucleotide ribosomal RNA is filed under the name uncultured bacterium. RNAcentral's name for it is "partial 16S ribosomal RNA". It matches the Rfam family "Bacterial small subunit ribosomal RNA", at positions 524 to 776 of the family's 1533-position model. The record is from RNAcentral.
GACGUAGGGCGCGAGCGUUGUCCGGAUUUAUUGGGCGUAAAGAGCUCGUAGGCGGCUUGUCGCGUCGACCGUGAAAACUUGGGGCUCAACCCCAAGCCUGCGGUCGAUACGGGCAGGCUAGAGUUCGGUAGGGGAGACUGGAAUUCCUGGUGUAGCGGUGAAAUGCGCAGAUAUCAGGAGGAACACCGGUGGCGAAGGCGGGUCUCUGGGCCGAUACUGACGCUGAGGAGCGAGAGCGUGGGGAGCGAACAGG